RNAcentral lists this ribosomal RNA (641 nucleotides) under Staphylococcus aureus. RNAcentral's name for it is "partial 23S ribosomal RNA". It matches the Rfam family "Bacterial large subunit ribosomal RNA", at positions 566 to 1209 of the family's 2925-position model. The record is from RNAcentral. Lineage: Bacteria; Bacillati; Bacillota; Bacilli; Caryophanales; Staphylococcaceae.
ACAAGUAGUCAGAGCCCGUUAAUGGGUGAUGGCGUGCCUUUUGUAGAAUGAACCGGCGAGUUACGAUUUGAUGCAAGGUUAAGCAGUAAAUGUGGAGCCGUAGCGAAAGCGAGUCUGAAUAGGGCGUUUAGUAUUUGGUCGUAGACCCGAAACCAGGUGAUCUACCCUUGGUCAGGUUGAAGUUCAGGUAACACUGAAUGGAGGACCGAACCGACUUACGUUGAAAAGUGAGCGGAUGAACUGAGGGUAGCGGAGAAAUUCCAAUCGAACCUGGAGAUAGCUGGUUCUCUCCGAAAUAGCUUUAGGGCUAGCCUCAAGUGAUGAUUAUUGGAGGUAGAGCACUGUUUGGACGAGGGGCCCCUCUCGGGUUACCGAAUUCAGACAAACUCCGAAUGCCAAUUAAUUUAACUUGGGAGUCAGAACAUGGGUGAUAAGGUCCGUGUUCGAAAGGGAAACAGCCCAGACCACCAGCUAAGGUCCCAAAAUAUAUGUUAAGUGGAAAAGGAUGUGGCGUUGCCCAGACAACUAGGAUGUUGGCUUAGAAGCAGCCAUCAUUUAAAGAGUGCGUAAUAGCUCACUAGUCGAGUGACACUGCGCCGAAAAUGUACCGGGGCUAAACAUAUUACCGAAGCUGUGGAUUG